This is a long non-coding RNA of Daphnia pulicaria, 1192 nucleotides long. RefSeq lists it as uncharacterized. NCBI's taxonomy places the organism in Eukaryota, Metazoa, Arthropoda, Branchiopoda, Diplostraca, Daphniidae. The record is from RefSeq and is a predicted model, not a curated record. The transcript is spliced from 7 exons.
ACAUCAAGCGUCAUCAAUAGCGUGGUCUAUGGUGCAAUGCUAUCGCUGGAGUAAGUUGUUUACCUUCAAUUUGGGAAGCGUCAUGAUUGGACUACCCUGAUGGCGUCAUGAUCGCUGCUGAUUGCCUUUCAAAUAGGUUUUCAGCAUUCUGCUUACACCUUUGGCAUAGAGUCACAUAUUUCACAAUCCAACAUCAAUUGGUAGCAACAGCAGCCCUUCUCUCCAUCAUCCAGAAGGGUCUGAGAUCAGUGUUGGAGAUGAUGGUUCGGAACAACCCAUGGAAAGCUUAUCACUCAUUGAUGCUGUGAUGCCUGAUGUUGUUGCAAGUCGUCAACAGCAAACACAGAACAAUCAGAAACCACAAGUGGUAAAGACAGAACCACCAAAUUCCAAUGGAGAUGAACCCAUGCAUUCCUAUCGCUGGGAAGAGGAAACAGGAGUAGAGAUACCUGCCAGCAAAUCAACUGUACUACGUGGCCAUGAAUCUGAAGUUUUCAUCUGCGCCUGAACCCAACAACUGAUUUAUUGGCUUCUGGCUCUGGUGAUAGCACUAAGGACAUACGAAUGAAGUAAACGCUAUCAAGUGGGAUCCUCAGGGUAAUCUUUUGGCUUCCUGUUCUCACGAUAUUGUGUACAGUGUCGCAUUUUCUCCCGAUGGCAAAUACCUAGCAUCUGGUAGCUUUGACUAAGGUGUACACAGCUGGUCUACUCAGUCAGGGCAAUUGUUACACAGCUACAAAGGAACUAGAGGCAUUUUUGAAGUUUGCUGGAAUUCUCGGGGCGAUAAAGUUGGAGCAAAUGCUUUUGACGGAAGUGUAUUUGCUGGGAUAACUGAACAGAAGUUUUAAAGAAAGACGGAAACAAUUGACAAGGCAAAAUAUUGACCAGCCAUCAAAUGUGUCCGAUCCUUUUCCUUGAUGUGGUACAUGUAACAAGACACUUGUGUUCAUGAUUCGCAAGCACACAACAAGGAAAUCUACACCAUAAAAUGGAGUCUUACCGGCCUUGGAACAAAAAACCCAAACAUGAAUCUGAUUUUGACUAGCGCUUCGUUUGACUCGACCGUUUUGUGGGACGUUGAGCGUGGGUUGUGUAUUCAUACCUUAACCAAGCACUCCGAACCAGUGUGUAGAUAAAAAUGUUUUGAUUUGAUUUGUCAAUAAAAAUAAGAUAGAUAUGUAUUAAAAUUCAA